Molecule: ribosomal RNA, 253 nt
Filed under: uncultured bacterium
Lineage: Bacteria
Description: partial 16S ribosomal RNA
Rfam family: Bacterial small subunit ribosomal RNA
Source: RNAcentral
UACAGAGGUCCCGAGCGUUGUUCGGAUUCACUGGGCGUAAAGGGUGCGUAGGUGGUGAGGUAAGUCGGAUGUGAAAUCUCCAGGCUCAACCUGGAAACUGCAUUGGAAACUACCUUGCUGGAGGAUUUGAGGGGGGAUUGGAAUACUUGGUGUAGCAGUGAAAUGCGUAGAUAUCAAGUGGAACACCAGUGGCGAAGGCGAAUCCCUGGACAACACCUGACACUGAGGCACGAAAGCUAGGGGAGCAAACAGG